AUGGCCUGGCAACAUAUAUCCAUGGAUUUUAUUGAAGGUCUGCCUAGUUCUCAGGGAAAAGAUGUGAUCAUGGUAAUAGUGGACAGAUUUACCAAAUAUGCACAUUUCAUUCCCCUGUCCCAUCCUUAUUCAGUACUCAGUGUAGCUCAAGCUUUUGUGGAUAAUAUAAUUAAGCUACAUGGUCCUCCAAAGAUGAUAAUUUCUGACAGAGACAGAAUCUUUACUAGUCAACUAUGGAGGGACAUAUUUGCUGCACUGAAAGUUGAAUUGAGAUAUAGCACAGCCUAUCACCCACAAACUGAUGGUCAGACUGAGAGAGUAAACCAGUGCCUGGAGACUUACUUAAGAUGCAUGACUACUUCAGCACCUAAGAAAUGGUUUUCUUGGUUAUCUCUGGCUGAGUUCUGGUACAACUCAACAUAUCACACAGCAAUCAAGAUGUCUCCAUUCCAAGCUCUAUAUGUUUUCCCCCCACCACUCAUCUCAGAGCUGGCCAUUCCUGGUCCUGAUGAUCCAGAAGCACAAGACUUUCUGUCAACCAAAUAA
RNAcentral lists this ribosomal RNA (546 nucleotides) under Triticum aestivum (bread wheat). RNAcentral describes it as "partial small subunit ribosomal RNA". The record is from RNAcentral. Lineage: Eukaryota; Viridiplantae; Streptophyta; Magnoliopsida; Poales; Poaceae.